Molecule: small RNA, 130 nt
Filed under: Psychroserpens ponticola
Lineage: Bacteria; Pseudomonadati; Bacteroidota; Flavobacteriia; Flavobacteriales; Flavobacteriaceae
Description: Psychroserpens sp. MSW6 6S RNA
Rfam family: 6S-Flavo RNA
Source: RNAcentral
ACUCAACGUUAAUUCUUUAAAAAGGGUGAGUUUAAACUGUAAAAUCGAGCUGCUAUCAUUGAACUUAUUUCAAUGUUUUGGGCAGAUUUUUGAUCAGUUUGUUAGCCCUAAACUUGUUUUUAAGGAGUUU